Molecule: long non-coding RNA, 1657 nt
Filed under: Homo sapiens (human)
Lineage: Eukaryota; Metazoa; Chordata; Mammalia; Primates; Hominidae
Description: HSALNT0380883
Source: RNAcentral
CCUCCCGGAUCCGCCUUCUCCCCGCUUCCGCCCUGCGCGCUAACCCAAGACGGGAGCUCGAGAGCUUGAUCCUGCGCGAGUUUACAGACUGCCCUCUUCCCUUUUUGCAUGGAGUCUUGCUCUGUUGCCCAGGCUGGAGUGCAGGGACGUGGUAUCAGCUCACUGCAACCCCACCUCCCAGAUUCAAGCGAGUCUUCCUGCCUCAGCCUCCCAAGUAACUGGGAUUACAGGCGCCUGCCACCACGCCCAGCUAAUUUUUUGUAUUUUUAGUAGAGACAGGGUUUCACCAUGUUGGCCAGGCUGGUCUCGAACUCCUGACCUCAGGUGAUCCACCUACCGUGGCCUCCCAAAGUGCUGGGAUUACAGGUGUGAACCACCGCACCCGGCCUUAUUUUUUUAUUUUUGAGACAGCAUCUCGCUCUGUUCAAGUUGGCCUUGAACUCCUGGCCUCAAGUGAUCCUCCCACCUUGGCCUCCCAAAGUGUUGGAAUUACAGGUGUGAACCAUUGCAAUGGCCUUAUUACUACUUUAUAUUUGUGGAGUGCUUUAAAGUUGACAAAGUUUUUAGUUAAUCCUCACACUAUUACCUUGUGGCGUUGAAGAACAGAUUUCAGGAGCGUGAAAGUGAAGACACCAAAAAGGAAGUUCUUGCAAUAUUUCAACAAAGAGAUGAAGAUUUGGAUUAGAUUCCAGUUCUACCUUUUUGGCACCAGGGAGCUGUUCUGUGAAAGACAAUUUUCCACAGGGCUCGGGGGGUGGGCAUGAGGCAGAGGAUGGUUUCGGAAUGAAACUGUUGCACCUCAAGAUCAUCAAUUAGAUUUCCAUAAGGAGUGUGCAAUCUAGAUUCCUCACAGGUGCAGUUCAAAAUAGGUUUUGAGUUCCUGUGAGAAUCUAAUGCUCUCCUUGAUCUGACAGGAGGCAGAGCUCAGGCAGUAAUGCUUGCUUGCUAGCUGCUCACCUGCUGUGCAGCCCAGUUCCUAAUAGGCGACAGGUCUGUGUUGGGGCGUUGGGGUCCUCUGAAUUAGAGGAAUGACAGAGAGAACAGACUCAGGCAGCUUUCUGGAUGUAGAAACAACCUAACUUAGUGAUUAUAGAUACUACCUGUGAUAAUAGUGAACUUUCUUCCAUAUCAAAGUUACACACCUUUGCCUCCGGUUCUUCCCACACCCUUAGAGCAUCUGCAAACCUACAGCCCUCCUCCUAGCUGACUGUAGUCACAUGACUUUUACCUUUCUGGCCACCAGUUGUACCAGCAGUGUUCAUCUGGCCCCAAAUUGGCCAAUCAUUUUCCUGCUCCUGGAAAAUUAGACUUGGCUUUAUAUUCAAGUCUGACCUCAGGAAUUUAUGGGGCAAAGUACACAGAUAGAUGUGUGUGAAUGUCCAAUCAGAGAAAGCACAUCUGCAGAAAGAUUAAGAAAUUGAUGUCGGGUGUGGUGGCUCAAGCCUGUAAUCCCAGCACUUUCGGAGGCUGAGGCAGGCGCAUCACCUGAGGUCAGGAGUUCGAGACCAGCCUGACCAACAUGGUGAAACCCCAUCUCUACUAAAAAUACAAACAUUAGCCUCCAGCUACGCAGGAGGCCAAGGCAGGAGAAUCGCAUGAAACUGGGAGGCAGAGGUUGCAGUGAGCCGAGAUCGUGCCACUGCACUCCAGCCUGGAU